RNAcentral lists this ribosomal RNA (497 nucleotides) under uncultured bacterium. RNAcentral's name for it is "partial 16S ribosomal RNA". It matches the Rfam family "Bacterial small subunit ribosomal RNA", at positions 28 to 507 of the family's 1533-position model. The record is from RNAcentral.
GAUGAACGCUGGCGGCGUGCCUAAUACAUGCAAGUCGAGCGAACAGACGAGGAGCUUGCUCCUCUGACGUUAGCGGCGGACGGGUGAGUAACACGUGGAUAACCUACCUAUAAGACUGGGAUAACUUCGGGAAACCGGAGCUAAUACCGGAUAAUAUAUUGAACCGCAUGGUUCAAUAGUGAAAGACGGUUUUGCUGUCACUUAUAGAUGGAUCCGCGCCGCAUUAGCUAGUUGGUAAGGUAACGGCUUACCAAGGGGACGAUGCGUAGCCGACCUGAGAGGGUGAUCGGCCACCCUGGAACUGAGACACGGUCCAGACUCCGACGGGAGGCAGCAGUAGGGAAUCUUCCGCAAUGGGCGAAAGCCUGACGGAGCAACGCCGCGUGAGUGAUGAAGGUCUUCGGAUCGUAAAACUCUGUUAUUAGGGAACAACAAAUGUGUAAGUAACUAUGCACGUCUUGACGGUACCUAAUCAGAAAGCCACGGCUAACUACGUG